RNAcentral lists this ribosomal RNA (472 nucleotides) under uncultured bacterium. RNAcentral's name for it is "bacterial SSU rRNA". It matches the Rfam family "Bacterial small subunit ribosomal RNA", at positions 335 to 799 of the family's 1533-position model. The record is from RNAcentral.
ACUCCUACGGGAGGCAGCAGUAGGGAAUCUUCCACAAUGGACGAAAGUCUGAUGGAGCAACGCCGCGUGAACGAUGAAGGCCUUCGGUCGUAAAGUUCUGUUGUAAGGGAAGAACAAGUGCCGCAGGCAAUGGCGGCACCUUGACGGUACCUUGCGAGAAAGCCACGGCUAACUACGUGCCAGCAGCCGCGGUAAUACGUAGGUGGCAAGCGUUGUCCGGAAUUAUUGGGCGUAAAGCGCGCGCAGGCGGCCUCUUAAGUCUGAUGUGAAAGCCCCGGCUCAACCGGGGGAGGGCCAUUGGAAACUGGGAGGCUUGAGUAUAGGAGAGAAGAGUGGAAUUCCACGUGUAGCGGUGAAAUGCGUAGAGAUGUGGAGGAACACCAGUGGCGAAGGCGACUCUUUGGCCUAUAACUGACGCUGAGGCGCGAAAGCGUGGGGAGCAAACAGGAUUAGAUACCCUGGUAGGAUAGCG